Molecule: ribosomal RNA, 253 nt
Filed under: uncultured bacterium
Lineage: Bacteria
Description: partial 16S ribosomal RNA
Rfam family: Bacterial small subunit ribosomal RNA
Source: RNAcentral
UACGUAGGAGGCGAGCGUUGUCCGGAAUUACUGGGCGUAAAGCGCGUGUAGGCGGUGGGACAAGUCUGUUGUGAAAGCGCCUGGCUUAACCGGGCGAGGUCGACGGAAACUGUCCGACUGGAGGACGGUAGAGGGGGGUGGAAUUCCCGGUGUAGCAGUGAAAUGCGUAGAGAUGUGGAGGAACACCGAUGGCGAAGGCAGCCCCCUGGGUCAAGAUUGACGCUCAUGCACGAAAGCGUGGGGAGCAAACAGG